RNAcentral lists this ribosomal RNA (253 nucleotides) under uncultured bacterium. RNAcentral describes it as "partial 16S ribosomal RNA". It matches the Rfam family "Bacterial small subunit ribosomal RNA", at positions 524 to 776 of the family's 1533-position model. The record is from RNAcentral.
UACGUAGGGUGCGAGCGUUAAUCGGAAUUACUGGGCGUAAAGCGUGCGUAGACGGUUACGUAAGUCGGGUGUGAAAGCCCCGGGCUCAACCUGGGAAUUGCAUUCGAGACUGCAUAGCUAGGGUGCGGAAGAGGGAAGCGGAAUUUCCGGUGUAGCGGUGAAAUGCGUAGAUAUCGGAAGGAACAUCAGUGGCGAAGGCGGCCAUCUGGGACAACACUGACGCUGAAGCACGAAAGCGUGGGGAGCAAACAGG